CUCCCCGGGACCAAGGCACGAGACCGGGCUGCGCCCCCGGGGCAGCGGGGGUUUGGCCCCUUUGUUUUACUCUUAAGUAAUUGUAAGCUCGGGAGGCGAGUGUUUUCCCAACGACGAUCAAGGCCCCGCCCGCACGCUGUGAGGGGCCGUUUAUUGAAGCCGGACGAGAGCCGAGUUUCACGGUCAGAGGCGGAGCCGGAGCUGGUCGGAACGGCGAGCGCAAGCUCGGCCUCCUGGAGCCCGGGCUCUGAGCACGAGUCUGCGAGCGGCCGAGGGGGCUCCUCCCCACCCCGCCUAGAGCUGCGACCCUUGGGAUAACUCCUGAGUGGACGUGCAUUUAAAAGGGGCGGCCUGGGACUUCACAGACCGUUUUCCAAUUCUGUCCACGCACCAGAGCCCAAAAGCAAGGGAGCCACCUGCGGGGCCACCCCCAGAGGCCUGUUCGGGCUGGGAAGGCGGGACCAGCUGUAACCCGCGAGUCUCCCAACGCCUCCGAGCCGCCCCGCCCGGCCCCCACCUCCCACCCGCCCCUCGGAGUCGCGAGAAAACCCGGAGAGCCCGAGGCUUGGGCCGGAACUGCGCAUGCCAGUAGCCCGAGCUGGUGCAGGUUGCCCAACGCAAGGUUUUCUUCGAAGGACCCCUGCGCCCGGGUUGGGGGCGUUCGGCGGGGAGAGGGGGCCCUCCGCCGCGGCGCCCUUUCCUUCCCCGGCCCCCGCCGAGGAGACACCCCUGCCGCCGAGGGGCUGCCCAGGGAGCGCCUCCCACGGUGCCGGAGACUCGCCUGGCGGGGGGAGGGGGCGCACGACGGUAUCGCGGGAGACACGUGACUGUCCGUGGCGCUUCGGGCAGCCAUCUUCCGCCCGGCCAUCGGGCCGCGGGCGAUCGGAUGGGAACGGACCGGGAGCGAACGGGGUGCGAGCAGAGCGCCCUCGCCCCCGCCACGCCCUCUCGCGGGGCUCUAGCCUCCUCUUCGCACCUGCCUCCGGCCCCGCACCCCGCCCGGCGCCGGAAUCGUGGCACUGACCCUCGGCUGGCCGGGCGGGGAGCGAGGGCUGUGAAAGGCAGGGGCAGGCUCCGGGUCGGACGGCCUCUGCUUCCUCCCAGAGGUGGAAGCGGGAGGAAGGGAUCCCCUUCCGUGAGGGAGUGACGCCGCUGCUCCAGCUGCCUCCUAGUUCUGCCCUGUUCCCCGCGGAGGAAGCGGGAUGUGUUGGCAGCAACAUCUGGAUAGCGUCCGUCGCUGUUCCCGGCGGUGCAGUGUCCACAGCCUCUUCCGGUGGACAGCUUGGACGGUGAUAUUAAUAGUAUUUAUUGAGCUCCUGCCACGAAGCACUUGGGGGUCCCAGUGAUCGUAGGACCAGCCUUUUUACCAUCAGAGGAGAAUUGGUUAGAAUUGCAAGGGCGGGAUGCUGCGAUCUCAUUAACCAGCCCUCCAGUUGACCUACAAGCAGCAGCCAUCAUGCAAAUUGUGCCCAAGAAGCAAGGAGGUUUCUAAGUCUGGCAAUUUAUCUCAGUGGAAGAAUCUGAAGCCAUAGCCUUAGUAGCAGGAAUAAGACCUGCUAGGAUUCCUGUCUUCAAUAACUGCUUGGGCCCUAGCCAGGUUUGCUCAGUGGUUAGAGCAUCGGCCCAUGAACUGAAG
Myotis lucifugus (little brown bat) is the source of this 1636-nucleotide long non-coding RNA. RefSeq lists it as uncharacterized. The record is from RefSeq and is a predicted model, not a curated record. Lineage: Eukaryota; Metazoa; Chordata; Mammalia; Chiroptera; Vespertilionidae. The transcript has 3 exons.